Molecule: small RNA, 33 nt
Filed under: Arabidopsis thaliana (thale cress)
Lineage: Eukaryota; Viridiplantae; Streptophyta; Magnoliopsida; Brassicales; Brassicaceae
Description: ATSL265290
Source: RNAcentral
UUAUCAAACCAAAUGCCCUCAUCAUGGCUUUAA